UACGUAGGGGGCUAGCGUUGUCCGGAAUUAUUGGGCGUAAAGGGCUCGUAGGCGGUUUGUCGCGUCGGGAGUGAAAACCUUGGGCUUAACUCAGGGCUUGCUUUCGAUACGGGCAGACUAGAGGUAUGCAGGGGAGAACGGAAUUCCUGGUGUAGCGGUGAAAUGCGCAGAUAUCAGGAGGAACACCGGUGGCGAAGGCGGUUCUCUGGGCAUGAUCUGACGCUGAGGAGCGAAAGUGUGGGGAGCGAACAGG
RNAcentral lists this ribosomal RNA (253 nucleotides) under uncultured bacterium. RNAcentral describes it as "partial 16S ribosomal RNA". It matches the Rfam family "Bacterial small subunit ribosomal RNA", at positions 524 to 776 of the family's 1533-position model. The record is from RNAcentral.